This 539-nucleotide long non-coding RNA is filed under the name Homo sapiens (human). Its description in RNAcentral is "HSALNT0120967". Lineage: Eukaryota; Metazoa; Chordata; Mammalia; Primates; Hominidae. The record is from RNAcentral.
UAGAAUUGGUUUGUUUCAAGGUGGAAGGAUAUGGCAAAGCUGUGUGGAAGGCUUGAAUUGCACAUGGAGAGCCCUGAAUCCCCAUUCCUGCUCUGCCCCAGACUGUGUGGCCGGCUGUUCCCCUUUCCGGACCUCAGGAGAUAGGGCUUGGUAGAGCUUCUAAACUCUAUCUACUUCCAGCCCAGAAAGGCCGUUUGUACAGGUUGACAUGGAUUUUAUUCAACAGACAAGCUGACAUUUAUCAAGAUGCUUUCAAUUACACCAAAAGAAAUAGAAGUCUUCGUCUUAUUGCUGUUUAUGUGGCAGUAUUGUUCUCCUACAAUAAGUUGAUGGAAAUGAGUUGUUUUGUUUUUCAUUUUAGCCAUUUUACAAGUAAGUUUGCUAUUGUUGUUGCUGUUUUUAGAAUAAAAUGAUUUUACCAAUAACAUUGAGUGGCUAUACCUUUCCUUAAUAAUGGGAAAUUUUAUAAAUUUGGCUGCUUAAUGACAUGAUUUAGAAGUUUGCACUCUGCUCACUUUUGAUUUGACCUUGCAAUUACC